This 431-nucleotide ribosomal RNA is filed under the name uncultured soil bacterium. Its description in RNAcentral is "bacterial SSU rRNA". It matches the Rfam family "Bacterial small subunit ribosomal RNA", at positions 26 to 455 of the family's 1533-position model. The record is from RNAcentral.
AGGAUGAACGCUGGCGGCGUGCUUAACACAUGCAAGUCGAACGAUGAAGCCGGAGCUUGCUCUGGUGGAUUAGUGGCGAACGGGUGAGUAACACGUGAGUAACCUGCCCUUGACUCUGGGAUAAGCACUGGAAACGGUGUCUAAUACCGGAUACGAACUUCGACGGCAUCGUCAGGAGUUGGAAAGAUUUCGGUCAAGGAUGGACUCGCGGCCUAUCAGCUAGUUGGUGAGGUAACGGCCCACCAAGGCGACGACGGGUAGCCGGCCUGAGAGGGUGACCGGCACACUGGGACUGAGACACGGCCCAGACUCCUACGGGACGGCAGCAGGUGGGGAAUUUGGACAAGUGGGGAACCUGAUCCGAGCCAUCCCGCGUGUGCGAUGGAAGCCGUUCGGGUUCGUAAGCUAACGUUUGGUACGAGGAGAACCGG